This 777-nucleotide ribosomal RNA is filed under the name uncultured Neocallimastigales. RNAcentral's name for it is "partial large subunit ribosomal RNA". It matches the Rfam family "Eukaryotic large subunit ribosomal RNA", at positions 24 to 649 of the family's 3401-position model. Lineage: Eukaryota; Fungi; Neocallimastigomycota; Neocallimastigomycetes; Neocallimastigales. The record is from RNAcentral.
UACGACUACAUAUCAGGCAUAUCAAUAAGCGGAGGAAAAGAAACUAACAAGGAUUCCCUUAGUAACGGCGAGUGAAGCGGGAAGAGCUCAAAUUUGAAAUCUUCAAGGUUCUACCUUGACGAAUUGUAGUUUAAAGAAGUGUUUUCUGUUAGAUGUUAGGUAAAAGUUCCUUGGAAUAGGGACAUCAUAGAGGGUGAGAAUCCCGUAUUUGACUUAUUCAUUCUAGCGUUGUGAUACACUUUCAAAGAGUCGGAUUGUUUGGGAAUGCAGUCCAAAAUGGGUGGUAAAUUUCAUCUAAAGCUAAAUAUUGGCGAGAGACCGAUAGCGAACAAGUACCGUGAGGGAAAGAUGAAAAGAACUUUGAAAAGAGAGUUAAACAGGUACGUGAAAUUGUCAAAGGGGAAGCGUUUGACACCAGUGUUGUUUUUCCGAAAAUCAAUUACGAAUGGCUUGAUUUUGUGUUGUAUUGACCUUAUCAGCUUUCUUCACUUUUUUCGAGUCUUUCUUAAUGCACUUUUCGGUUAACAAGUCAACAUCAAUUUCUUUUGUUGUAAAAGAGUAUUCGGAAGGUGGCUUUCUUUUCGGAGAAAGUGUUUAUAGCCCUAUACUUCUACAAUCGGAGAGAUUGAGGUCUGCAGCGUAGAUCCUUCGAGGUUAGAUACAUUUGUGCUAAGUUGUAGCUUUUCAUAGACAACUUGUUGACUAUGUUUAGUCAUGCGGCUUACUCGCUUGUGCUAUUUUACCUACGCUUAGGAUGUUGAGUAGCGACAUACGCAC